Molecule: ribosomal RNA, 482 nt
Filed under: uncultured bacterium
Lineage: Bacteria
Description: partial 16S ribosomal RNA
Rfam family: Bacterial small subunit ribosomal RNA
Source: RNAcentral
GACGAACGCUGGCGGCGUGCUUAACACAUGCAAGUCGAACGAUGAAGAAGAGAAACGCGAACUUCGGUUCAAAUUUCUCUUCGGAUUAGUGGCAGACGGGUGAGUAACGCGUGAGCAACCUACCUCUUACAAAGGGAUAGCCUCGGGAAACCGUGAUUAAUACCAUAUGACACAUUCAUAAGGCAUCUAAAGAAUGUUAAAGCUACGGCGGUAAGAGAUGGGCUCGUGUCCCAUUAGCUAGUUGGUGAGGUAACGGCCCACCAAGGCGACGAUGGGUAACCGGCCUGAGAGGGUGAACGGUCACAUUGGAACUGAGACACGGUCCAAACUCCUACGGGAGGCAGCAGUGGGGAAUAUUGCACAAUGGAGGGAACUCUGAUGCAGCGACGCCGCGUGAGCGAUGAAGGAAUUCGUUUCGUAAAGCUCUGUUCUAUGGGAAGAAAAGGACUGUACCAUAGGAGAAAGCCCCGGCUAAAUACGUG